RNAcentral lists this long non-coding RNA (815 nucleotides) under Chlamydomonas reinhardtii. Its description in RNAcentral is "long non-coding RNA (CREI_LNC001403)". The record is from RNAcentral. Lineage: Eukaryota; Viridiplantae; Chlorophyta; Chlorophyceae; Chlamydomonadales; Chlamydomonadaceae.
UCCACACCACCACUACCAUCACGUCCGCGCCGGCGCCGGGGCCGCGCACGAUGAGCGGCUGCUUGAAGUAGCGCGCGGUGGUGAAGGAGAUGAUGUUGUCGCUGCCCUGCAGCUGCGCAAAGGGGUGGGACUUGGGGUAGCGGCGCAGCUCCACGCUGCCCUUGCCGUUCUGGGCGUCCACCACACCCACGUAUCCGCGAGGCGGAGCAGGAGGCGGUAAGGAAGGGUUAGGGCAGGGUCAAGGAGCGCGUGUAGGUAUCCAGAGCCGCGCGUUUGGUCACUAAUGCCCCUACACCAACGUUCUUGCGUUUGCUGAGGCUCGUCAUGCACGUCCCUUUCCGAAGCCCCCCCGUAACACCGGCCAAAACCCGCCCCGCGCGCCCCGCCUCAUCCAGUCCCUUCCCCCGUCCCUCCCACCCACCAGGCCCCCCACCCCACCCAUCCCCCACCCCCCCGCCCCUGCCUACACACACACGCACACACAUCUCAAGCAGUCUCCGCUGGCCUCCGCCUCGCGCAGCUUGGCGUCCAUGUCGGCGUCGAACUCGGGCAGCCGCGCCAUGUAGUCGGCACUGCUGGCCACGGCGCGAAGCGGCUCUGUGUGUGUGCAGCGGGGGAGUGGUGAGUGUGGGCAAGAGGUGUUGAGGAGGAGGGAUUGCCAGCAUGGCGCAGGAAGGAUGGCAGGGAUGCGGCACGUCACGCUGAGAGCAGACGCUAGUGCCCUCUGGCCGCCCGGGACACCCGUUUGCCCCGUACCCCCUUCGACACGCGGCCCUACCCACCCCCCUGCCCCGAUCAUCAUCGCCCCACGUCAG